RNAcentral lists this ribosomal RNA (1183 nucleotides) under Kocuria sp. NIMD8. RNAcentral's name for it is "bacterial SSU rRNA". The stretch from base 1 to 770 matches the Rfam family "Bacterial small subunit ribosomal RNA", at positions 754 to 1533 of the family's 1533-position model. Lineage: Bacteria; Bacillati; Actinomycetota; Actinomycetes; Micrococcales; Micrococcaceae. The record is from RNAcentral.
CGAAAGCAUGGGGAGCGAACAGGAUUAGAUACCCUGGUAGUCCAUGCCGUAAACGUUGGGCACUAGGUGUGGGGGACAUUCCACGUUUUCCGCGCCGUAGCUAACGCAUUAAGUGCCCCGCCUGGGGAGUACGGCCGCAAGGCUAAAACUCAAAGGAAUUGACGGGGGCCCGCACAAGCGGCGGAGCAUGCGGAUUAAUUCGAUGCAACGCGAAGAACCUUACCAAGGCUUGACAUAUACCGGAUCGUUCCAGAGAUGGUUCUUCCCCUUUGGGGUCGGUAUACAGGUGGUGCAUGGUUGUCGUCAGCUCGUGUCGUGAGAUGUUGGGUUAAGUCCCGCAACGAGCGCAACCCUCGUUCCAUGUUGCCAGCACGUAAUGGUGGGGACUCAUGGGAGACUGCCGGGGUCAACUCGGAGGAAGGUGGGGAUGACGUCAAAUCAUCAUGCCCCUUAUGUCUUGGGCUUCAGCGUCAUGCUAACAGCCCAUGAGACCUGCCUUCGCCAUCGGUGUUGCUCCUGAUAUCUGUGCAGUUGGACCGCUAAUCACCAGGAAUUCCGGUCUCCCGUUCUGGACUCUGAGGUCUGCAACUCGUACCUCACUGCACAGUCGGAGUCGCUAGUAAUCGCCGGGCUUUCACAGCAGACGCUGACGGUGAAUACCGUUCCUACGGGCUCUUGUACACACCGCCCAGUCAAUUCACGGACAACGCUUGCGCCCUACGUAUUACCGCGAAGCUGGUGGCCCGUACCGUUAGCCGGACGCUUCUUCUGCAGGUACCGUCACUUGUGGCUUCUUCCCUGCUGAAAGAGGUUUACAACCCGAAGGCCGUCAUCCCUCACGCGGCGUCGCUGCAUCAGGCUUUCGCCCAUUGUGCAAUAUUCCCCACUGCUGCCUCCCGUAGGAGUCUGGGCCGUGUCUCAGUCCCAGUGUGGCCGGUCACCCUCUCAGGCCGGCUACCCGUCGUCGCCUUGGUGAGCCAUUACCUCACCAACAAGCUGAUAGGCCGUGAGCCCAUCCAAGACCAGUAAACCCUUUCCACACACCACCAUGCGGUGACGUGUAGCAUCCAGUAUUAGACCCAGUUUCCCGGGCUUAUCCCAGAGUCAAGGGCAGGUUACUCACGUAUUACUCACCCGUUCGCCACUCAUCCACACCAGCAAGCUGGUGCUUCAGCGUCGACUG